Molecule: ribosomal RNA, 257 nt
Filed under: uncultured bacterium
Lineage: Bacteria
Description: partial 16S ribosomal RNA
Rfam family: Bacterial small subunit ribosomal RNA
Source: RNAcentral
CCACGCCGUAAACGAUGGGUACUAGGUGUUGGUUCAUCAAGAAUCGGUGCCGCAGCUAACGCAUUAAGUACCCCGCCUGGGGAGUACGGUCGCAAGACUGAAACUCAAAGGAAUUGACGGGGGCCCGCACAAGCGGUGGAGCAUGUGGUUUAAUUCGACGCAACGCGAAGAACCUUACCAAGACUUGACAUCCCGUUGGCCGGAUAUGUAAUGUAUCCUUUUCUUCGGAACAACGGUGACAGGUGGUGCAUGGUUGU